CCUAGGACAGAUGGAGAGACCGGGGCACCUCUUGGCCAGAGUCCCACAAGACCAAGAAGGUGGUGGAUGGGGUCUUCAAACCUGUUAUCCUGCUCCAGAGUCUGCAUGUUUCACCACCAACUAGGCGGCCCAACACCAGACAAGCACCUGUGCAGUGACUGUCGCUGUAGUGUGGUCUCCCGGUGACGCUCCUGCACCCUUGACCCAAUCCUGUGAAGAUGUGGCCUGGGGCCAGCCUGGUGAGACACUCCAGGGAUGCCGAGGACACUUCUCCAUUUGAUCUGCGUUGUCCUUUGUGGUGCUCAUCGUAAUCUCAAUUAAUCUGCACUGUCCUCCAUUGAAAUGUCUGCCUCCACCACCGGACAAAUGAGUCGUUGGGUCGGCAGUAUCUUGGUCACUGCUGAGCCCCUGGCCCUGUGCCUACUCCACAGUAAGUGCUCAGUAAACACCUAGUGAAUGAACGAACCAAAGAUUUUCGUCUCUUGCGGGUUCAAGAGGCAAUGACCGGAAUGUGGUUUGAAGACCCAAAAGGUGGAAGUGAGGAAGCAACAGUAGAGGGACCCUGCUUGAAAUCAGGUCCCCCGUGAAGUGUCUGGAACGUGUGGUCUCUGUUUGGUUGGACAUGCUCUAUCCUGAAGGGAUUUUGGCUCUACACUGUGAAUUUCACUGCUCUCUGAGGCAAGGCCUAGGGGCUCUAUGCUUGUGUGACCCUCCAGCUCCUACAUGUGGUGGUAAAAGGCUUUUGAUUAAGAACCAGGGUACACAACCUGACCUUGGGGACCUCUUCUGUCACCAACAAUCUGCACCAAACUUCCAUUGUAAAGCAGUCCCCCCACCCCCUACGGUCUUCACUGCUCCCACUGACCCUGUCGGGAAGCCAGACCCUCUACCCUUUGGAAUUGCCCUUCCUUCCUGAUCUUGAAAGUUCAGCUCUAAGCUCACCUCUUCCAGGGGGUGUUCAAGAGUGAACUCUAGACCUGCUUGCCUCCGUACCCCACUGUAUACCCUUCCUACCCCCAUGACCCUGGCUUCCCCGCACCGCACACACCCAGGCUUUGUGAUGACCACAGUGUCUUUGGGUAUACUCCUGGGAGCCAGUGGAGAGGUCGACAAGGACCAGGAGGCAGACCAAGGGUUUGAAUCCUGGGUCAACACUUACAGGCUGUUUGACCUUGAGUGGGUGAAUGCAUGUCUCUGAGCUUCCUCAUCGGUAAGAUUGGAGAGCAACGCCCACUUAGCCAGGACACGCAGGAGGAUUUGAUGAGACUCUGGUUUCCUGUUUGCUCCCUCUCAUCCUUCAGGACUGCUCACAUGUCCCCUCCUCUGAGUGUCCUCCUUGACCCCAUUGCAAGCCAUGCCCCACCUGCUUUCUCGGCCUCAUUUUCCUUGAAGACCUUCUAUAGCUCUCAAUUCACUCGCUUAUUAUCCGCCUGCCUCCGCUGGAACAUCAGGGUUAGGGAAUAGGGGUUUUGAUGAUUUUGCCCAUUGCUGAAUCCCAAGGUCCUAGAAUAGUGCCCUGCAUACAGUCGCUGGCUGAAUGGCGGGUACGUAGUGGGGGUUUUCAGCAGAAGCUGCUAUUACGACUGUGCAACUCUGUCUUCUUUGUUUGCAACUGACAGGUUGGCCGAACUUACCUUCGGGCCUGGGGCAGUCCCAGCUCGACGAUCUGCCAAACUGGGGUAAUGGGGUCACCGUCCUGCCUGGGUCCCUGUGUGCCCUGCUUUGGGCAGAGGAGGCUGUGUGCCCUGGAGGCCAUCUCGACAACCUGCCCUUCCAGGGCAGAGGCCACUGGGCCCGCCUGCUCCACCCCUUCUGUGUAAACAUCCAACACUAGGACACAUGAAUCAUCUCCAGGAAACCCACAACCCUUGUCAGGGUCAAAGAAAGCCAGAUAAGACGAGUAGGACUACCUGCCAUGACAGAAGUUUGGGCUCUGGUUCCAGUUCUGCUUCUUUGGCCACCGACGUGAUGUCGCCGAACAUGGAGUCGAGAAGAGGUGCUCGACGUCAGCUGUCGAGAGCCACAACCAGCGGGCCCC
Long non-coding RNA from Panthera uncia (snow leopard), 2038 nucleotides. RefSeq lists it as uncharacterized. The transcript is spliced from 3 exons. NCBI's taxonomy places the organism in Eukaryota, Metazoa, Chordata, Mammalia, Carnivora, Felidae. The record is from RefSeq and is a predicted model, not a curated record.